Molecule: non-coding RNA, 30 nt
Filed under: Homo sapiens (human)
Lineage: Eukaryota; Metazoa; Chordata; Mammalia; Primates; Hominidae
Source: RNAcentral
AUGCAUUGAAAAGAAAACGUGAAGAUGAUG